Molecule: ribosomal RNA, 253 nt
Filed under: uncultured bacterium
Lineage: Bacteria
Description: partial 16S ribosomal RNA
Rfam family: Bacterial small subunit ribosomal RNA
Source: RNAcentral
UACGUAGGGUCCGAGCGUUGUCCGGAAUUAUUGGGCGUAAAGAGCUCGUAGGCGGUUUGUCGCGUCUGCUGUGAAAUCCCGAGGCUCAACCUCGGGCCUGCAGUGGGUACGGGCAGACUGGAGUGCGGUAGGGGAGAAUGGAAUUCCUGGUGUAGCGGUGGAAUGCGCAGAUAUCAGGAGGAACACCAAUAGCGAAGGCAGCUCGCUGGGACGGUAUUGACGCUAAGGCGCGAAAGCGUGGGGAGCAAACAGG